UACGGGGGGGGCAAGCGUUGUUCGGAAUUACUGGGCGUAAAGGGUGCGUAGGCGGCGCGGUAAGUCGGGUGUGAAAUCUCGGAGUUUAACUCCGAAACUGCAUUCGAUACUGCCGUGCUUGAGGACUGGAGAGGAGACUGGAAUUUACGGUGUAGCGGUGAAAUGCGUAGAUAUCGUAAGGAAGACCAGUGGCGAAGGCGGGUCUCUGGACAGUUCCUGACGCUGAGGCACGAAGGUCAGGGGAGCAAACGGG
This 253-nucleotide ribosomal RNA is filed under the name uncultured bacterium. RNAcentral's name for it is "partial 16S ribosomal RNA". It matches the Rfam family "Bacterial small subunit ribosomal RNA", at positions 524 to 776 of the family's 1533-position model. The record is from RNAcentral.